RNAcentral lists this ribosomal RNA (495 nucleotides) under uncultured bacterium. Its description in RNAcentral is "partial 16S ribosomal RNA". It matches the Rfam family "Bacterial small subunit ribosomal RNA", at positions 28 to 507 of the family's 1533-position model. The record is from RNAcentral.
GACGAACGCUGGCGGCGUGCCUAAUACAUGCAAGUAGAACGCUGAAGGAGGAGCUUGCUCUUCUGGAUGAGUUGCGAACGGGUGAGUAGCGCGUAGGUAACCUGCCUGGUAGCGGGGGAUAACUAUUGGAAACGAUAGCUAAUACCGCAUAACAGUAGAUGUUGCAUGACAUUUACUUAAAAGGUGCAAUUGCAUCACUACCAGAUGGACCUGCGUUGUAUUAGCUAGUUGGUGGGGUAACGGCUCACCAAGGCGACGAUACAUAGCCGACCUGAGAGGGUGAUCGGCCACACUGAGACUGAGACACGGCCCAGACUCCUACGGGAGGCAGCAGUAGGGAAUCUUCGGCAAUGGACGGAAGUCUGACCGAGCAACGCCGCGUGAGUGAAGAAGGUUUUCGGAUCGUAAAGCUCUGUUGUAAGAGAAGAACGAGUGUGAGAGUGGAAAGUUCACACUGUGACAGUAUCUUACCAGAAAGGGACGGCUAACUACGUG